GACGAACGCUGGCGGCGUGCUUAACACAUGCAAGUCGAACGGAAAGGCCCUGCUUUUGUGGGGUGCUCGAGUGGCGAACGGGUGAGUAACACGUGAGUAACCUGCCCUUGACUUUGGGAUAACUUCAGGAAACUGGGGCUAAUACCGGAUAGGAGCUCCUGCUGCAUGGUGGGGGUUGGAGAGUUUCGGCGGUUGGGGAUGGACUCGCGGCUUAUCAGCUUGUUGGUGGGGUAGUGGCUUACCAAGGCUUUGACGGGUAGCCGGCCUGAGAGGGUGACCGGCCACAUUGGGACUGAGAUACGGCCCAGACUCCUACGGGAGGCAGCAGUGGGGAAUAUUGCACAAUGGGCGGAAGCCUGAUGCAGCAACGCCGCGUGCGGGAUGACGGCCUUCGGGUUGUAAACCGCUUUCGCCUGUGACGAGGCGUGAGUGACGGUAAUGGGUAAAGAAGCACCGGCUAACUACGUGCCAGCAGCCGCGGUGAUACGUAGGGUGCGAGCGUUGUCCGGAUUUAUUGGGCGUAAAGGGCUCGUAGGUGGUUGAUCGCGUCGGAAGUGUAAUCUUGGGGCUUAACCCUGAGCGUGCUUUCGAUACGGGUUGACUUGAGGAAGGUAGGGGAGAAUGGAAUUCCUGGUGGAGCGGUGGAAUGCGCAGAUAUCAGGAGGAACACCAGUGGCGAAGGCGGUUCUCUGGGCCUUUCCUGACGCUGAGGAGCGAAAGCGUGGGGAGCGAACAGGCUUAGAUACCCUGGUAGUCCACGCUGUAAACGGUGGGUACUAGGUGUGGGGUCCAUUCCACGGGUUCCGUGCCGUAGCUAACGCUUUAAGUACCCCGCCUGGGGAGUACGGCCGCAAGGCUAAAACUCAAAGGAAUUGACGGGGCCCCGCACAAGCGGCGGAGCAUGCGGAUUAAUUCGAUGCAACGCGUAGAACCUUACCUGGGUUUGACAUGGAUCGGGAGUGCUCAGAGAUGGGUGUGCCUCUUUUGGGGUCGGUUCACAGGUGGUGCAUGCCUGUCGUCAGCUCGUGUCGUGAGAUGUUGGGUUAAGUCCCGCAACGAGUGCAACCCUUGUUCACUGUUGCCAGCACGUUAUGGUGGGGACUCAGUGGAGACCGCCGGGGUCAACUCGGAGGAAGGUGGGGAUGACGUCAAGUCCUCAUGCCCCUUAUGUCCAGGGCUUCACGCAUGCUACAAUGGCUGGUACAGAGAGUGGCGAGCCUGUGAGGGUGAGCGAAUCUCGGAAAGCCGGUCUCAGUUCGGAUUGGGGUCUGCAACUCGACCUCAUGAAGUCGGAGUCGCUAGUAAUCGCAGAUCAGCAACGCUGCGGUGAAUACGUUCCCGGGGCU
RNAcentral lists this ribosomal RNA (1346 nucleotides) under uncultured bacterium. Its description in RNAcentral is "bacterial SSU rRNA". It matches the Rfam family "Bacterial small subunit ribosomal RNA", at positions 28 to 1381 of the family's 1533-position model. The record is from RNAcentral.